This 482-nucleotide ribosomal RNA is filed under the name uncultured bacterium. RNAcentral describes it as "partial 16S ribosomal RNA". It matches the Rfam family "Bacterial small subunit ribosomal RNA", at positions 30 to 507 of the family's 1533-position model. The record is from RNAcentral.
AUUGAACGCUGGCGGCAUGCCUUACACAUGCAAGUCGAACGGUAACGGGCCUUCGGGUGCCGACGAGUGGCGGACGGGUGAGUAAUACAUCGGAACGUGCCCGAUCGUGGGGGAUAACGAGGCGAAAGCUUAGCUAAUACCGCAUACGAUCUAAGGAUGAAAGCAGGGGACCGCAAGGCCUAGCGCGGACGGAGCGGCCGAUGGCAGAUUAGCUAGUUGGUGGGGUAAAAGCUUACCAAGCCGACGAUCUGUAGCUGGUCUGAGAGGAUGAUCAGCCACACUGGGACUGAGACACGGCCCAGACUCCUACGGGAGGCAGCAGUGGGGAAUUUUGGGCAAUGGGCGCAAGCCUUAUCCAGCCAUGCCGCGUGCAGGAUGAAGGCCUUCGGGUUGUAAACUGCUUUUGUACGGAACGAACAGCCUUCUUUUAAUACAGGAGGGUCAUGACGGUACCGUAAGAAUAAGCACCGGCUAACUACGUG